AAACUGAGGGAAACGCAUUAAAUAUAAGAGGAGAACAACGACACAACACUACAAUGUAACACACACAGAAACGGACCAAGCAACAGACAAAAUCCCACGAGAAUAACAAAUAUAACAUCAUAACCAAAUACAUGAAUUUGGGAUAGACAAGUACCGUGACACGUCUUAUCGCAAUGUGAAUUUACACUCAAAAAUAAGAGAAAACAAACGACGCAACGUUAAAAUGUAACACAUACAGAAACGAACUAUAAUAUAACAAUGGCCAUAUUCCUGACUUGGUACAGGACAUUUUUAAAGAAAAAAAUGGCGGGUUGAACCUGGUUUUGUGGCAUGCCAAACCUCCCCUUUUAAAGCCAUGUGAAAUAUAACAUUAAGAUGACAACUCAACACUACAGGACUACAAUAUAAAUAAAUUGGAAAAUACAAUUGACAAAGAAACACACGAACCACAGCCAACAAAAGGCAACAAGUUGAAAAUUUUAAUACGCCAGAAGUGCAUUUUAUCCACACAAGAUCUAC
This 519-nucleotide long non-coding RNA is filed under the name Mytilus galloprovincialis (Mediterranean mussel). The record is from RNAcentral. Lineage: Eukaryota; Metazoa; Mollusca; Bivalvia; Mytilida; Mytilidae.